CUGAGUGUUACAACUCCCUAACCCUUUGUGAAUCUUACCUAUCGUUGCUUCGGCGGGAUCUGCCACGGCGCCCCCGCGGCGCCCUGGCACCCCGCCGGAGGCCCAAAACUCUUGCUUCUCUCAAGUGGUUUUCUCUGAGUGGCACAAGCAAAAUUAAAUUA
RNAcentral lists this unclassified non-coding RNA (161 nucleotides) under uncultured Hypocreales. RNAcentral's name for it is "sequence contains ITS1". The record is from RNAcentral. Lineage: Eukaryota; Fungi; Ascomycota; Sordariomycetes; Hypocreales.